Molecule: ribosomal RNA, 242 nt
Filed under: Ostreococcus mediterraneus
Lineage: Eukaryota; Viridiplantae; Chlorophyta; Mamiellophyceae; Mamiellales; Bathycoccaceae
Description: partial Eukaryotic large subunit ribosomal RNA
Rfam family: Eukaryotic large subunit ribosomal RNA
Source: RNAcentral
AGAUCUUGGUGGUAGUAGCAAAUACUCAAAUGAGAACUUUGAGGACUGAAGUGGGGAAAGGUUCCGUGUGAACAGCAGUUGGACACGGGUUAGUCGAUCCUAAGAGAUAGGGUAAUUCCGUUUUAAUGUAGGCGCUUGCGCCUCGCCCUCGAAAGGGAAGCCGGUUAACAUUCCGGCACCUAGAUGUGGAUUCUCCACGGCAACGUAACUGAAAGCGAAGACGUCGGCGGGGGCCCUGGGAA